This 774-nucleotide ribosomal RNA is filed under the name uncultured Neocallimastigales. RNAcentral's name for it is "partial large subunit ribosomal RNA". It matches the Rfam family "Eukaryotic large subunit ribosomal RNA", at positions 24 to 649 of the family's 3401-position model. Lineage: Eukaryota; Fungi; Neocallimastigomycota; Neocallimastigomycetes; Neocallimastigales. The record is from RNAcentral.
UACGACUACAUAUCAGGCAUAUCAAUAAGCGGAGGAAAAGAAACUAACAAGGAUUCCCUUAGUAACGGCGAGUGAAGCGGGAAGAGCUCAAAUUUGAAAUCUUAAAGGGUUUCCCUUUACGAAUUGUAGUUUAAAGAAGUGUUUUCUGUUGAAGUUUUGGUAAAAGUUCUUUGGAAUAGGACAUCAUAGAGGGUGAGAAUCCCGUAUUUGACCAUUAUUUUCAGCUGUGUGAUACACUUUCAAAGAGUCGGAUUGUUUGGGAAUGCAGUCCAAAAUGGGUGGUAAAUUUCAUCUAAAGCUAAAUAUUGGCGAGAGACCGAUAGCGAACAAGUACCGUGAGGGAAAGAUGAAAAGAACUUUGAAAAGAGAGUUAAACAGUACGUGAAAUUGUCAAAAGGGAAGCGUUUGACACCAGUGUUGUUUUUCCAAAAAUCAAUUACGAAUGGCUUGAUUUUGCGUUGUAUUGACCUUAUCAGCUUUCUGCACUUUUUUCGAGUCUUUCUUAAUGCACUUUUCGGUUAACAAGUCAACAUCAAUUUCUUUUGUUGUAAAAGAGUAUUCGGAAGGUGGCUUUCUUUUCGGAGAAAGUGUUUAUAGCCCUAUACUUCUACAAUCGGAGAGAUUGAGGUCUGCAGCGUAGAUCCUUCGGGGUUAGAUACACUUGUGCUAAGUUGUAGCUUUUCAUAGACAACUUGUUGACUAUGUUUAGUCAUGCGUCUUACUCGCUUGUGCUAUUUUACCUACGCUUAGGAUGUUGAGUAGCGACAUACGCAC